RNAcentral lists this ribosomal RNA (429 nucleotides) under Bacteroidota bacterium. RNAcentral's name for it is "Bacteroidetes bacterium partial 16S ribosomal RNA". It matches the Rfam family "Bacterial small subunit ribosomal RNA", at positions 355 to 776 of the family's 1533-position model. The record is from RNAcentral. Lineage: Bacteria; Pseudomonadati; Bacteroidota.
UAGGGAAUCUUCCGCAAUGGACGCAAGUCUGACGGAGCAACGCCGCGUGAGUGAAGGAGGAUUUCGGUUCGUAAAACUCUGUUGUUAGAGAAGAACAGCGCAUAGAGUAACUGUUAUGCGUGUGACGGUAUCUAACCAGAAAGCCACGGCUAACUACGUGCCAGCAGCCGCGGUAAUACGUAGGUGGCAAGCGUUGUCCGGAUUUAUUGGGCGUAAAGCGAGCGCAGGCGGUCAAUUAAGUCUGAUGUGAAAGCCCCCGGCUCAACCGGGGAGGGUCAUUGGAAACUGGUUGACUUGAGUGCAGAAGAGGAGAGUGGAAUUCCAUGUGUAGCGGUGAAAUGCGUAGAUAUAUGGAGGAACACCAGUGGCGAAGGCGACUCUCUGGUCUGUAACUGACGCUGAGGUUCGAAAGCGUGGGUAGCAAACAGG